RNAcentral lists this ribosomal RNA (559 nucleotides) under uncultured soil eukaryote. RNAcentral describes it as "bacterial SSU rRNA". It matches the Rfam family "Eukaryotic small subunit ribosomal RNA", at positions 90 to 580 of the family's 1831-position model. The record is from RNAcentral.
CGAAUAGCUCAUUACAACAGCCAUAGUUUACUGGAAUAUCGUUAUCCUACUUGGAUAACUGUGGCAAUUCUAGAGCUAAUACAUGCAUAAAAGCUCUGCCCGAAAGGAAAGAGCGCAUUUGUUAGAGUAAAAACCAAUCGGGCUUCGGCCUGUAAUUUGGUGAAUCUGAAUAACUUUGCCAAUCGCACAGUCCUAGUACUGGCGAUGUAUCCUUCAAGUGUCUGCCUUAUCAACUUUCGAUGGUAGGUUAUACGCCUACCAUGGUAGUAACGGGUAACGGAGAAUAAGGGUUCGACUCCGGAGAGGGAGCCUGAGAAACGGCUACCACAUCCAAGGAAGGCAGCAGGCGCGCAAAUUACCCACUUCCAGAACGGAGAGGUGGUGACGAAAAAUAACGAGACAGUCCUCUUCGAGGUCUGUCAUCGGAAUGGGUACAAUUUAAAUCCUUUAACGAGGAUCUAUUGGAGGGCAAGUCUGGUAAUCGAAUUACCGCGGCCGCCAUGGUGGCCGCGAAUUCACUAGUGAUUCUGGUUGAUCCUGCCAGGAGGGCAAGUCUGGU